RNAcentral lists this ribosomal RNA (126 nucleotides) under Lepisosteus oculatus (spotted gar). The record is from RNAcentral. Lineage: Eukaryota; Metazoa; Chordata; Actinopteri; Semionotiformes; Lepisosteidae.
GUCAGCAGUGAUAUCGCCCUGCAGCUCACAGCUCACAGCUGGCAGCCCACUGAAGCCCAGCAGGUGUGAGCCUGGCCAGUACCUGGAUGGGAGACCACCUGGGAAAAACUAAGGCUGCUGCUGGAA